RNAcentral lists this ribosomal RNA (497 nucleotides) under uncultured bacterium. RNAcentral's name for it is "partial 16S ribosomal RNA". It matches the Rfam family "Bacterial small subunit ribosomal RNA", at positions 28 to 507 of the family's 1533-position model. The record is from RNAcentral.
GAUGAACGCUGGCGGCGUGCCUAAUACAUGCAAGUCGAGCGAACAGACGAGGAGCUUGCGCCUUUGACGUUAGCGGCGGACGGGUGAGUAACACGUGGAUAACCUACCUAUAUUACUGGGAUAAUUUCGUGAAACCGGAGCUAAUACUGGAUAAUAUAUUGAACCGCAUGGUUCAAUAGUGAAUGACGGUUUUGCUGUCACUUAUAGAUGGAUCCGCGCCGCAUUAGCUAGUUGGUAAGGUAACGGCUUACCAAGGCAACGAUGCGUAGCCGACCUGAGAGGGUGAUCGGCCACACUGGAACUGAGACACGGUCCAGACUCCUACGGGAGGCAGCAGUAGGGAAUCUUGCACAAUGGGCGAAAGCCUGACGGAGCAACGCCGCGUGAGUGAUGAAGGUCUUCGGAUCGUAAAACUCUGUUAUUAGGGAAGAACAACUGUGUAAGUAACUAUGGACGUCUUGACGGUACCUAAUCAGAAAGCCACGGCUAACUUCGUG